Dermacentor silvarum is the source of this 405-nucleotide long non-coding RNA. RefSeq lists it as uncharacterized. The record is from RefSeq and is a predicted model, not a curated record. The transcript has 3 exons. NCBI's taxonomy places the organism in Eukaryota, Metazoa, Arthropoda, Arachnida, Ixodida, Ixodidae.
GCCUACGCCUUCGUGAAUGAAUGGGCCCAUUUCCGCUACGGUGUGUUUUAUGAGUACGGGCGCUUGGGACACGAGAAGUACCCUAUGUCCUACUGCCCGUGUUGUAAUAAGGAAGUGGUACGUUGGAACUCGUGCUCGGAUAGGAUUGAGCAUUCUAUUCUUAAUGAAAAUAUAUGCGUAUAUCACGACGGCUGUUAUGCCACUGAAGAUUGCGUGGUCGUGGCAACUCAACCAGAACGAGAUCCCGUUGAAUCGUCGCUCAUGUUCCUUCCACGACUCGAGAAUAUAAAGCAUUUUUGUAACUCGGAGAAGGAAAGCCACAGACACAACAAGUUCGCACCUAACUUGCACAACGAGAUCUGCGAAGGCCAGUCUACCUGGGACGUCAUCAGGCAGAACGAAGAC